This 580-nucleotide long non-coding RNA is filed under the name Cyanistes caeruleus (blue tit). RNAcentral's name for it is "lncRNA (ENSCCEG00000004498.1)". The record is from RNAcentral. Lineage: Eukaryota; Metazoa; Chordata; Aves; Passeriformes; Paridae.
AUGGGAAAGGAAGGCAACAUCAGCAGACAGAGGAUGACCCUUCUUCAGCACAGACUUGAAGCAGAGCAGUGCCUGCACCUCCCCAGGGCCAGGAGGAGCUCCCCAUGGCCAGCAGUGGGACAGAUCACUGCUGGAUUCCACAUUCCACAGCCACAGGAGUCAAAGUUUUGUUCGCCACCCCUUCAUCCCCCGCCCUGCUCUGGACGUUUCCAUUUGAAAUCAGGAUCUGUCACUCCCCCAAACCAGAUGAAAACAGGAGGCAGAAAGGCAAGAAUGUGCCAUAAAGUAUCUCUGGCAUUCCCAGAAGAAAAGCACUUGAUUUCUUGGAAGAUGAUGGUUUCACUUCAAUCAUGCUCCAAAUCAAGACUUAUCCAUCUCCAUCUUUAGCCAGGCAAAUUUGAUUUCUGAUCAUCUUGUUUCUUACCUGUUGUUUGCCAGAUUGGAAAGUCUUCUGCAGGUAUUAUGGGAUGGAGAACACUGAUUUUUAUUUUUUUUUAAAUCUAUUUCUAAAUUAUUUGUGCUGAUGCAAUCAGUCACACCUUUCAAUAAAUUACUAAUUGUGGGCGAAUCCUCGUUCUCA